GGCGAACGGGUGCGUAACACGUGGGCAAUCUGCCGAAAAGUGGGGGAUAGCUCGCCGAAAGGCGAAUUAAUACCGCAUGUGGUCAGGGGGGACAUCCCUCCAACACUAAAGCCGGGGCAACCUGGCGCUUUUUGAUGAGCCCGCGGCCUAUCAGCUUGUUGGUGAGGUAACGGCUCACCAAGGCUAUGACGGGUAGCUGGUCUGAGAGGACGACCAGCCACACUGGAACUGAGACACGGUCCAGACACCUACGGGUGGCAGCAGUCGAGAAUUUUUCUCAAUGGGGGAAACCCUGAAGGAGCGACGCCGCGUGGAGGAUGAAGGUUUUCGGAUUGUAAACUCCUGUCAUUGGGGAACAAUUGUGCAGAUUUAACUGAUUUGCACUUGAUAGUACCCGAAGAGGAAGAGACGGCUAACUCUGUGCCAGCAGCCGCGGUAAUACAGAGGUCUCAAGCGUUGUUCGGAUUCAUUGGGCGUAAAGGGUGCGUAGGCGGUAAUGUAAGUUGGAUGUGAAAUCCCGGGGCUUAACCCCGGAACUGCAUUCAAUACUGCAAUACUAGAGUACUGGAGAGGAGAUUGGAAUUCACGGUGUAGCAGUGAAAUGCGUAGAUAUCGUGAGGAAGGCCAGUGGCGAAGGCGAAUCUCUGGACAGUUACUGACGCUGAGGCACGAAGGCUAGGGGAGCAAACGGGAUUAGAUACCCCGGUAGUCCUAGCAGUAAACGGUGCACGUUUGGUAUGGGAGGAUUCGACCCCUUCCGUGCC
RNAcentral lists this ribosomal RNA (764 nucleotides) under uncultured bacterium. RNAcentral's name for it is "bacterial SSU rRNA". It matches the Rfam family "Bacterial small subunit ribosomal RNA", at positions 97 to 847 of the family's 1533-position model. The record is from RNAcentral.